Wasmannia auropunctata (little fire ant) is the source of this 342-nucleotide long non-coding RNA. RefSeq lists it as uncharacterized. NCBI's taxonomy places the organism in Eukaryota, Metazoa, Arthropoda, Insecta, Hymenoptera, Formicidae. The transcript is spliced from 3 exons. The record is from RefSeq and is a predicted model, not a curated record.
GAAUGUAUAAUUACCUUUUUUUCUUGGAGGAAGCAAUGCAUUGCCUGAGUGACAUCCGUGGCAUGUAUACUGUUGUGCUUGUUUAUAAAGAAAUCGCGGGAUUUAAGUGUCUGCUUACCGAAUAACUUCCAUACUGUUACGACAUCCAAACUGAAGUGUUGAAAAAGUCCAUAACAAUGGAAGAGAUGGACACAUAAUACUGGCAGCGAACGACCUGGAAAUUAAACACGAUAUUACGUGUGGCGAUGAUUUAAUCCGUGGAAUAUGUCGUCCAAGAUACCUGGUUCCUGAUUCAAGGAUCUGGUAGUAAGCUUCUUACGCCGUCUCUUAUGCAUCGUCAGA